GGUUAAGCGACUAAGCGUACACGGUGGAUGCCCUGGCAGUCAGAGGCGAUGAAGGGCGUACUAAUCUGCGAUAAGCGCCGGUAAGGUGAUAUGAACCGUUAUAACCGGCGAUACCCGAAUGGGGAAACCCAGUGUGAUUCGUCACACUAUCAUUAACUGAAUCCAUAGGUUAAUGAGGCGAACCGGGGGAACUGAAACAUCUAAGUACCCCGAGGAAAAGAAAUCAACCGAGAUUCCCCCAGUAGCGGCGAGCGAACGGGGAGGAGCCCAGAGCCUGAAUCAGCAUGUGUGUUAGUGGAAGCGUCUGGAAAGGCGCGCGAUACAGGGUGACAGCCCCGUACACAAAAGCGCAUGUGCUGUGAGCUCGAUGAGUAGGGCGGGACACGUGGUAUCCUGUCUGAAUAUGGGGGGACCAUCCUCCAAGGCUAAAUACUCCUGACUGACCGAUAGUGAACCAGUACCGUGAGGGAAAGGCGAAAAGAACCCCGGCGAGGGGAGUGAAAAAGAACCUGAAACCGUGUACGUACAAGCAGUGGGAGCACAGGUUUACCUGUGUGACUGCGUACCUUUUGUAUAAUGGGUCAGCGACUUAUAUUCUGUAGCAAGGUUAACCGAAUAGGGGAGCCGGAGGGAAACCGAGUCUUAAUUGGGCGUUAAGUUGCAGGGUAUAGACCCGAAACCCGGUGAUCUAGCCAUGGGCAGGUUGAAGGUUGGGUAACACUAACUGGAGGACCGAACCGACUAAUGUUGAAAAAUUAGCGGAUGACCUGUGGCUGGGGGUGAAAGGCCAAUCAAACCGGGAGAUAGCUGGUUCUCCCCGAAAGCUAUUUAGGUAGCGCCUCGUGAAUUCAUCUCCGGGGGUAGAGCACUGUUUCGGCUAGGGGGCCAUCCCGGCUUACCAACCCGAUGCAAACUGCGAAUACCGGAGAAUGUUAUCACGGGAGACACACGGCGGGUGCUAACGUCCGUCGUGAAGAGGGAAACAACCCAGACCGCCAGCUAAGGUCCCAAAGUCAUGGUUAAGUGGGAAACGAUGUGGGAAGGCCCAGACAGCCAGGAUGUUGGCUUAGAAGCAGCCAUCAUUUAAAGAAAGCGUAAUAGCUCACUGGUCGAGUCGGCCUGCGCGGAAGAUGUAACGGGGCUAAACCAUGCACCGAAGCUGCGGCAGCGACGCUUAUGCGUUGUUGGGUAGGGGAGCGUUCUGUAAGCCUGCGAAGGUGGCCUGUGAGGGUUGCUGGAGGUAUCAGAAGUGCGAAUGCUGACAUAAGUAACGAUAAAGCGGGUGAAAAGCCCGCUCGCCGGAAGACCAAGGGUUCCUGUCCAACGUUAAUCGGGGCAGGGUGAGUCGACCCCUAAGGCGAGGCCGAAAGGCGUAGUCGAUGGGAAACGGGUUAAUAUUCCCGUACUUGGUGUUACUGCGAAGGGGGGACGGAGAAGGCUAUGUUGGCCGGGCGACGGUUGUCCCGGUUUAAGCGUGUAGGUGUGUGUUCCAGGUAAAUCCGGUUCACUUUAACACUGAGGCGUGACGACGAGGCACUACGGUGCUGAAGCAACAAAUGCCCUGCUUCCAGGAAAAGCCUCUAAGCAUCAGGUAACAUCAAAUCGUACCCCAAACCGACACAGGUGGUCAGGUAGAGAAUACCAAGGCGCUUGAGAGAACUCGGGUGAAGGAACUAGGCAAAAUGGUGCCGUAACUUCGGGAGAAGGCACGCUGACACGUAGGUGAAGUGAUUUACUCAUGGAGCUGAAGUCAGUCGAAGAUACCAGCUGGCUGCAACUGUUUAUUAAAAACACAGCACUGUGCAAACACGAAAGUGGACGUAUACGGUGUGACGCCUGCCCGGUGCCGGAAGGUUAAUUGAUGGGGUCAGCGCAAGCGAAGCUCCUGAUCGAAGCCCCGGUAAACGGCGGCCGUAACUAUAACGGUCCUAAGGUAGCGAAAUUCCUUGUCGGGUAAGUUCCGACCUGCACGAAUGGCGUAAUGAUGGCCAGGCUGUCUCCACCCGAGACUCAGUGAAAUUGAACUCGCUGUGAAGAUGCAGUGUACCCGCGGCAAGACGGAAAGACCCCGUGAACCUUUACUAUAGCUUGACACUGAACAUUGAGCCUUGAUGUGUAGGAUAGGUGGGAGGCUUUGAAGUGUGGACGCCAGUCUGCAUGGAGCCGACCUUGAAAUACCACCCUUUAAUGUUUGAUGUUCUAACGUGGACCCGUUACCCGGGUUGCGGACAGUGUCUGGUGGGUAGUUUGACUGGGGCGGUCUCCUCCUAAAGAGUAACGGAGGAGCACGAAGGUUGGCUAAUCCUGGUCGGACAUCAGGAGGUUAGUGCAAUGGCAUAAGCCAGCUUGACUGCGAGCGUGACGGCGCGAGCAGGUGCGAAAGCAGGUCAUAGUGAUCCGGUGGUUCUGAAUGGAAGGGCCAUCGCUCAACGGAUAAAAGGUACUCCGGGGAUAACAGGCUGAUACCGCCCAAGAGUUCAUAUCGACGGCGGUGUUUGGCACCUCGAUGUCGGCUCAUCACAUCCUGGGGCUGAAGUAGGUCCCAAGGGUAUGGCUGUUCGCCAUUUAAAGUGGUACGCGAGCUGGGUUUAGAACGUCGUGAGACAGUUCGGUCCCUAUCUGCCGUGGGCGCUGGAGAACUGAGGGGGGCUGCUCCUAGUACGAGAGGACCGGAGUGGACGCAUCACUGGUGUUCGGGUUGUCAUGCCAAUGGCACUGCCCGGUAGCUAAAUGCGGAAGAGAUAAGUGCUGAAAGCAUCUAAGCACGAAACUUGCCCCGAGAUGAGUUCUCCCUGAGACUUAGAGUCUCCUGAAGGAACGUUGAAGACGACGACGUUGAUAGGCCGGGUGUGUAAGCGCAGCGAUGCGUUGAGCUAACCGGUACUAAUGAACCGUGAGGCUUAACCUU
RNAcentral lists this ribosomal RNA (2908 nucleotides) under Salmonella enterica. RNAcentral's name for it is "bacterial LSU rRNA". It matches the Rfam family "Bacterial large subunit ribosomal RNA". The record is from RNAcentral. RNAcentral also lists the same sequence under 2 other names. Lineage: Bacteria; Pseudomonadati; Pseudomonadota; Gammaproteobacteria; Enterobacterales; Enterobacteriaceae.